This 753-nucleotide ribosomal RNA is filed under the name uncultured bacterium. RNAcentral's name for it is "bacterial SSU rRNA". It matches the Rfam family "Bacterial small subunit ribosomal RNA", at positions 31 to 790 of the family's 1533-position model. The record is from RNAcentral.
AGACGCUGGCGGCGUGCCUAACACAUGCAAGUCGAGCGGAGGAUUCGAGAUGUUUACAUCGAAGGAUCCUUAGCGGCGGACGGGUGAGUAACACGUGGGUAACCUGCCUCAGAGUGGGGGAUAGCCUUUCGAAAGGAAGAUUAAUACCGCAUAAGAUUGCACUGCCACAUGGCAGAGCAAGAAAAGGACGCAAGUCCGCUUUGAGAUGGACCCGCGGCGCAUUAGCUAGUUGGUGAGGUAACGGCUCACCAAGGCCACGAUGCGUAGCCGACCUGAGAGGGUGAUCGGCCACAUUGGAACUGAGACACGGUCCAGACUCCUACGGGAGGCAGCAGUGGGGAAUAUUGCACAAUGGGCGAAAGCCUGAUGCAGCAACGCCGCGUGAGUGAUGAAGGCCUUCGGGUCGUAAAGCUCUUUGAUCAGGGAUGAUAAUGACAGUACCUGAAAAACAAGCCACGGCUAACUACGUGCCAGCAGCCGCGGUAAUACGUAGGUGGCGAGCGUUGUCCGGAAUUAUUGGGCGUAAAGGAUGCGUAGGUGGAUAUUUAAGUGGGAUGUGAAAUCCCCGGGCUCAACCCGGGAACUGCAUUCCAUACUGGAUGUCUAGAGUGCAGGAGAGGAAAGUGGAAUUCCUAGUGUAGCGGUGAAAUGCGUAGAUAUUAGGAGGAACACCAGUGGCGAAGGCGACUUUCUGGACUGUAACUGACACUGAGGCAUGAAAGCGUGGGUAGCAAACAGGAUUAGAUACCCUGG